CACGUAGGGGGCGAGCGUUGUCCGGAUUUAUUGGGCGUAAAGAGCUCGUAGGCGGCUUAGUAAGUCGGGUGUGAAACCUCCAGGCUCAACCUGGAGACGCCACCCGAUACUGCUAUAGCUUGAGUCCGGUAGGGGAGCGUGGAAUUCCUGGUGUAGCGGUGAAAUGCGCAGAUAUCAGGAGGAACACCAGCGGCGAAGGCGGCGCUCUGGGCCGGUACUGACACUGAGGAGCGAAAGCGUGGGGAGCAAACAGG
RNAcentral lists this ribosomal RNA (254 nucleotides) under uncultured bacterium. RNAcentral describes it as "partial 16S ribosomal RNA". It matches the Rfam family "Bacterial small subunit ribosomal RNA", at positions 524 to 776 of the family's 1533-position model. The record is from RNAcentral.